CCUACGGGCGGCAGCAGUGAGGAAUAUUGGUCAAUGGACGAGAGUCUGAACCAGCCAAGUAGCGUGAAGGAUGACUGCCCUAUGGGUUGUAAACUUCUUUUAUAUGGGAAUAAAAUGUUCCACGUGUGGGAUUUUGUAUGUACCAUAUGAAUAAGGAUCGGCUAACUCCGUGCCAGCAGCCGCGGUAAUACGGAGGAUCCGAGCGUUAUCCGGAUUUAUUGGGUUUAAAGGGAGCGUAGGUGGAUUGUUAAGUCAGUUGUGAAAGUUUGCGGCUCAACCGUAAAAUUGCAGUUGAAACUGGCAGUCUUGAGUACAGUAGAGGUGAGCGGAAUUCGUGGUGUAGCGGUGAAAUGCUUAGAUAUCACGAAGAACUCCGAUUGCGAAGGCAGUUCACUGGACUGCAACUGACACUGAGGCUCGAAAGUGUGGGUAUCAAACAGGAUUAGAUACCCCAGUAGUC
RNAcentral lists this ribosomal RNA (460 nucleotides) under uncultured bacterium. Its description in RNAcentral is "partial 16S ribosomal RNA". It matches the Rfam family "Bacterial small subunit ribosomal RNA", at positions 338 to 795 of the family's 1533-position model. The record is from RNAcentral.